RNAcentral lists this ribosomal RNA (502 nucleotides) under uncultured bacterium. Its description in RNAcentral is "bacterial SSU rRNA". It matches the Rfam family "Bacterial small subunit ribosomal RNA", at positions 355 to 874 of the family's 1533-position model. The record is from RNAcentral.
UGGGGGAUAUUGCACAAUGGGCGAAAGCCUGAUGCAGCAACGCCGCGUGAGGGAAGACGGUUUUCGGAUUGUAAACCUCUGUCUUUGGUGACGAUAAUGACGGUAGCCAAGGAGGAAGCCACGGCUAACUACGUGCCAGCAGCCGCGGUAAUACGUAGGUGGCAAGCGUUGUCCGGAAUUACUGGGUGUAAAGGGUGCGCAGGCGGGAGCGCAAGUUGGAUGUGAAAUACCGGGGCUUAACCCCGGAGCUGCAUCCAAAACUGUGUUUCUUGAGUGAAGUAGAGGUAGGCGGAAUUCCGAGUGUAGCGGUGAAAUGCGUAGAUAUUCGGAGGAACACCAGUGGCGAAGGCGGCCUACUGGGCUUUAACUGACGCUGAGGCACGAAAGCAUGGGGAGCAAACAGGAUUAGAUACCCUGGUAGUCCAUGCUGUAAACGAUGAAUACUAGGUGUGGGGGGUCUGACCCCUUCCGUGCCGGAGUUAACACAAUAAGUAUUCCACCU